Molecule: ribosomal RNA, 1372 nt
Filed under: uncultured bacterium
Lineage: Bacteria
Description: bacterial SSU rRNA
Rfam family: Bacterial small subunit ribosomal RNA
Source: RNAcentral
GAUGAACGCUGGCGGCGUGCCUAAUACAUGCAAGUCGAGCGAACAGACAAGGAGCUUGCUCCUUUGACGUUAGCGGCGGACGGGUGAGUAACACGUGGGUAACCUACCUAUAAGACUGGGAUAACUUCGGGAAACCGGAGCUAAUACCGGAUAAUAUUUCGAACCGCAUGGUUCGAUAGUGAAAGAUGGUUUUGCUAUCACUUAUAGAUGGACCCGCGCCGUAUUAGCUAGUUGGUAAGGUAACGGCUUACCAAGGCGACGAUACGUAGCCGACCUGAGAGGGUGAUCGGCCACACUGGAACUGAGACACGGUCCAGACUCCUACGGGAGGCAGCAGUAGGGAAUCUUCCGCAAUGGGCGAAAGCCUGACGGAGCAACGUCGCGUGAGUGAUGAAGGUCUUCGGAUCGUAAAACUCUGUUAUUAGGGAAGAACAUACAUGUAAGUAACUAUGCACGUCUUGACGGUACCUAAUCAGAAAGCCACGGCUAACUACGUGCCAGCAGCCGCGGUAAUACGUAGGUGGCAAGCGUUAUCCGGAAUUAUUGGGCGUAAAGCGCGCGUAGGCGGUUUUUUAAGUCUGAUGUGAAAGCCCACGGCUCAACCGUGGAGGGUCAUUGGAAACUGGAAAACUUGAGUGCAGAAGAGGAAAGUGGAAUUCCAUGUGUAGCGGUGAAAUGCGCAGAGAUAUGGAGGAACACCAGUGGCGAAGGCGACUUUCUGGUCUGUAACUGACGCUGAUGUGCGAAAGCGUGGGGAUCAAACAGGAUUAGAUACCCUGGUAGUCCACGCCGUAAACGAUGAGUGCUAAGUGUUAGGGGGUUUCCGCCCCUUAGUGCUGCAGCUAACGCAUUAAGCACUCCGCCUGGGGAGUACGACCGCAAGGUUGAAACUCAAAGGAAUUGACGGGGACCCGCACAAGCGGUGGAGCAUGUGGUUUAAUUCGAAGCAACGCGAAGAACCUUACCAAAUCUUGACAUCCUUUGACAACUCUAGAGAUAGAGCCUUCCCCUUCGGGGGACAAAGUGACAGGUGGUGCAUGGUUGUCGUCAGCUCGUGUCGUGAGAUGUUGGGUUAAGUCCCGCAACGAGCGCAACCCUUAAGCUUAGUUGCCAUCAUUAAGUUGGGCACUCUAAGUUGACUGCCGGUGACAAACCGGAGGAAGGUGGGGAUGACGUCAAAUCAUCAUGCCCCUUAUGAUUUGGGCUACACACGUGCUACAAUGGACAAUACAAAGGGCAGCGAAACCGCGAGGUCAAGCAAAUCCCAUAAAGUUGUUCUCAGUUCGGAUUGUAGUCUGCAACUCGACUACAUGACGCUGGAAUCGCUAGUAAUCGUAGAUCAGCAUGCUACGGUGAAUACGUUCCCGGGUCU